UCACAGAGCAGCAAACAGCUGCAGGCAGCUGACUUAAAGCAACUGCAACAUCAACAUGUAGGCAGCUGAGGGAGCCAAGAAUAGGAGCUACAAAAGCUGCAGAGUUCAGAGCUCCAGGCAAUUAAUUAGGUAAUGGCUGCAGCAGAGCUGAGGGACCUGCUGAUGAUAUCAGAUGAGUAACCCCUGAACGUGGCUCCUAGGCUAAGGACAGCAUUGUGGCGUACAGUCUGAAGGGGAGAACAGUUUUCUGCGAGGAGGUUGCAGACUGGAAAAACUACAGACAGUAAGGUGUCAGGGGUUGAAGUGGCAACAGUGGGAGAUCAAGAAUGAAAAUGAUCCUAGAGAUGAAAACUGGACGUGGCUAACCAAUGCAACAUUAUGCAGACCAGUACAUAGACCACCCAACGUGAUUCUGGGAUAUAAUGCUGACGUAUGGAAUCUCACAAUACCAGGUUAUUCCCCGAAAUAUAAUAUUCCUUGGGAAGGACUAUGGAACCCCUCCAAAUUGUUAAAUCCUCGUAAUAUAAUUAAUGGGCCAUAUCCAUAUGGCACUAAAUUAACAGAAGCAGGGAUAAAUGAAACUGAGGACUAUCCAACACCAUGGGGUUUUGUGACAACACACCCAGAAACGGGUGUAUUUGGGGUAAAAUUGACUAUUAUCCCAUUAAGGUUAUUUGAAAAUGCUACAAUAGACGCCUAUGGUAUCAUCUAAUGUAAGUGGAAUAAACUUUUCUGGAAACUUAACACUGCCCAGAACAGUGGCUGGCUUACCACUAGCACUUGGUGCCGGACUAUAGUACACACCAGAAAUGGGAUAUGAUAUCCCUCAACUCUAGCCCUGUAAGCAUGAGGUUCAGUUCUGGAGAGAUACAGGGGAAAUAAUGGAAAUAAAAUAUAAUAUCCCGCAAGCCUCGCCCUUGUGAGACUGGAGCUCAGUUUUGGAGAGACACAUCUGCAAGGAGAUGUGUGUGCAUAAUAGUCCCAAAAAUUAAUGAUCUACACUCCAGUAUGGGGGUAGUACUUUGGUCAAAAACAGGUAUUACAUGGAUCACCGCAGAUCAUUGGAGCACGACUGAGGAGAAAAAGGUGCAUUCCCAACUAUCUGCGUGGGACAUUGACUUGCAGGAAUUAAAUUUGACUCGUAUAUUGUUUAACUUGGAAACUGGACAAUUAGUGAUGUUGUCAAAGGACUAUGGAGAGCACAUUACUUACCUGAAAUUACUCAAUGCCAGCAAGGUCCUCAAUACACCAUUUGCUUCGGUGUUAGAAGGACUAGCCAUGAUUGGAAAUGCAGUGGGGAAUGGUGUUAAAUCUACUAUACACGAAAUAGGAUCGAUAGGACAACAACUAUGGAACACCAUAAAGACUGUAUUUUUGGGAAAAUGGGUGAUAUAUGUUAUAAUAAGCAUCAUAGGAUUGUUUGGGUUAAUCAUUUUAGGAAAAUUAAUGUUGUGUAUGUUGUCAUGGAAUCACUGCAAUAAGUUUGCAAGGCUUAGUAACGAAAUACAAUUGUAAUCAAACUGCCUAAUGGGCAUGGGGGGGGGGGUGUCAUAUUGAAUGUAAUAUUUGAAUGCUUAUAAUAAAUGCCCAUUAGCCAGUUUAGAAAAAGACAAGAUUCAACUUCUUAUCUAGGCCAUUGUUUUGGCCUAUGUGCGGAAGAUCCGGGCUUUGCUCAAAGUCUUAACUCUUGAAUUUUAUCUUUGGAGGCCUUUAACAAGGUUAACCUAAAAACGACCCUUAAGCAAACAUCCCACAUUCCAAGAAAUCAAACCCUAGGAGCCUUUGAAAAGGGUUGGAAAGAAAGGUCACUGCAGUGGUAUGGAAAAUCCCCCAAAUAAAUUGAAUAGUUAGCAAACACAAACUGAUUACCAAGCAAAAGAAUCUGUAAAGUAAGAUCCGAGCCCAAAUUUGGGAGUAGUGACAGGUUUGGGUAGGAGUGACCCAAGACGGCAACUAGCUCAAUAAAAACUGUAACCUACUGUCCCAAUUUGGAGGUAACCUCACUUGCAGAACAACAAAGGAAGAAUCGCAAGUGUAGGCCGGAUCAGACUGAUCACCUGAACCACCCUCUCCGUGAACAUGAAUCUCUUAGUUCACACUGAAGCCGCGGAGCGCCCGAGUGGGACUGAAGGAAGGGGACUUGUUCCUAGUACUGCUGAGGCCAGCCCAUUGAACCGUAUUGCUGAGGCCAGCCCAUUGAACUGUACUACUGAGGCCAACCCAUUAAAAUGUACUACUGAGGAAUGAAACCAUAUUUAGGUGUUUGGCUUCUUGGAAUUCUGGAAUUGUAAGUAUAUUAUGAAAAAUAAUAGUAUUGAUUCAAAUUAUAUAGUUAGUUGUAAUUGUUUGAGAAGGAAAUGCAUUUGGGACAUUGUUUCUGAUAUAUGUAGUUAUUGUGUUCUUAAUGUUUGUGGUAUUUCUUAAAGCUAAGCAGUGUUAUAUGCGUAGCAAAGAAAUUUAAAAUAAAAUUGUGUUGUAUAAAUUAA
Alligator mississippiensis (American alligator) is the source of this 2486-nucleotide long non-coding RNA. RefSeq lists it as uncharacterized. Lineage: Eukaryota; Metazoa; Chordata; Crocodylia; Alligatoridae. The transcript is spliced from 2 exons. The record is from RefSeq and is a predicted model, not a curated record.